UACAGAGGGUGCGAGCGUUAAUCGGAAUUACUGGGCGUAAAGCGCACGUAGUCGGCUUUGCAAGUCGGGUGUGAAAUCCCCGGGCUCAACCUGGGAACUGCAUCCGAGACUGCAUUGCUAGAGUAUGGGAGAGGGAAGCGGAAUUUCUGGUGUAGCAGUGAAAUGCGUAGAUAUCGGAAGGAACUCCGGCGGCGAAAGCGAUGCACUGGCUGGUUUCUGACGCUGAGGUGCGAAAGCCAGGGGAGCAAACGGG
RNAcentral lists this ribosomal RNA (253 nucleotides) under uncultured bacterium. RNAcentral's name for it is "partial 16S ribosomal RNA". It matches the Rfam family "Bacterial small subunit ribosomal RNA", at positions 524 to 776 of the family's 1533-position model. The record is from RNAcentral.